UUUAAAUAAACUUCUCUGUUUUUAUUGCGGAAAGGGCUAUUAGUCUGCCUUCUGGUGAAUAAAUAAUUGUGAGCUUGAUUUCAGACUGCUUAUUUUAGCAUAUCAAAGGUCACGCAAUGAUAAGUUUUAUUGCACUAAGUUGCAUUGCUUAUAGAAUCCAGAAAAGUUGGGGCUGUAAUAUUAUUAAUAAUAUUCAAAACAAUAACUUUUGUAAAUGUUAUCUAUAUGACACACUCAUUUGCUGAUGUUUUUGUGGGCGCUGGACAUGUGCUGCUAUUAGCUUUUUGUUAAAUGUUUUUUUUGAUCUCAGAUCCGACAAGUUCUGGGGUUUCCUAUUCUUUUUUAUUUUAAUUCCUUUAUUAGACGUGCUCGACUUUUGCUUUUCCUCUCCUGGGUCCUUGACAGAAUGGCGAAUUAACAUGGCUCGCUCCUGUAAAGUGGAUUUCAGCUUAACCUCUUUAUUGAGGGAAGGACUUUAUCGGCACCAGUACCUUCGGUUAUCUUUUCGGUGCUCUCUCACGGCGACUUCGACAAUGGUGGGCUUCGCUCUGCAGCAAACAUUACUAGCUAAUAUUGAAAUCCUCAACCGGCUAGAUACUGAGCUUGAAUU
Long non-coding RNA from Zophobas morio, 610 nucleotides. RefSeq lists it as uncharacterized. The transcript has 4 exons. The record is from RefSeq and is a predicted model, not a curated record. NCBI's taxonomy places the organism in Eukaryota, Metazoa, Arthropoda, Insecta, Coleoptera, Tenebrionidae.